AUCAACUACACCAACUUGAAUACAGAGAGACAGGCUGAUGUCUAGAGAUUAGAGUCUGAGAAAGACAGAGCGAGCCGUGAGGGAGUGGUGGAGGCGCGUAGCCAUGGAGGAGCAAGGCGGCGCCAACUGAUUCCGGUGCGUCAACAACCCCAACCAACAAAACAACGACUGAGAGAGAGUUGUGAGGGAGUGGCGGCUGAACACCGCCCCCGGUGGCGGAGCGAUGGAGGAGCACGACAGCGCCACCUGAUUCCAGGGUGUCAACGACCCCAACCACGGAACAACGGUUGAGGGUUUCAGAGAGAGAAAGAGGCUGUGUACACGGUGGCCAUGUCGACGGUUAGCAUUCCGACCAGAUUUCGAUCUAAAGAGCAGUACCAGCAAGGAGAACCAGGUGAAGAUCCGGUGAGCAGAUUGAAGCCUGUACGAGAGCUCUUCAAGUGAAUCGGCAACACUCCAGGCCUACUCUACAUAUAAGAAACAGUGAAGCGGAGUAGGGCACAGUUGGAAUAGGGCUGGUUAUGUCAAAUUGGUGGCUACUUGUGAAAUUCCGGUUACACCCGUUUGGAACGCCAGUGUCCACAGGUCAGAGGUAAAGCAUGGUGAUUGGCUUGGUGAAGAUUUGAAGUUCUUGAGGUCUGUCUCGGUAAUGGUUGAUGAGAGUCAAGAAUAGGUCAAAUCGGUCAACAUAGAAACUCAGGUCAGAACCCAGUCAAACGAUGGAAGUUCCAGUGGCCACUUCUAUAUUUUGAUAUUUGGCUUUUUAACAUAGGUUUGGGUUGCAGUUGCCUUUAAAACCUUUUGUAUCUUCAAAUGCUUAUAAACAAUCACUUAGAGUUUUUGAAAUGUGAAUUGUCAUGUU
This 862-nucleotide long non-coding RNA is filed under the name Helianthus annuus (common sunflower). RNAcentral describes it as "hypothetical non coding rna". The record is from RNAcentral. Lineage: Eukaryota; Viridiplantae; Streptophyta; Magnoliopsida; Asterales; Asteraceae.